Molecule: regulatory RNA element, 117 nt
Organism: Hyphomonas neptunium ATCC 15444
Lineage: Bacteria; Pseudomonadati; Pseudomonadota; Alphaproteobacteria; Hyphomonadales; Hyphomonadaceae
Rfam family: ALIL pseudoknot
Source: Rfam
AGCGUAUUUUGCUCAGGCGGAGCUCGACCGCCGACCGAAGACAUGAUCGCGUUCAUUGACGACCAUCGCGAUGUUUAUGGGGUCGAGCCGAUCUGCAGGGUAUUGCCGAUUGCCCCA